AUUCUUUGCUGCUCUUCUUAAAGCAGAGAUUGUAUUGGGAAUGAAUCUGGCAAUUUGACAUAGUGGCAUUUUCCUAGGACUCACUUCUCUCCUCCCAACACUCUGCUUGAUAAGCAGAUGGAACAAUCUAGAUGUCUUGCCGAUUUCAUUUGGCUGCUUCACUUACGUGAGCAGGAAAUGGGCUUUUACAAAUAUAUGAAAGCAAAAAGUAGUGAAUGUAAAAUUUUCAAAAGUGCCUAAAUCUCAUUUGCAGUGACUUAGCGACCUCUGAACAGAUUUUUAAAGGUAUUUUCAAAAACUUAGCUGCUUUUGGAAAUUUUACUUCUAGAAAAGUAGUCCCAUUAAUAAAUUAGGAGGGGAAUAAAAUUAAGGAGGAAUCACAAAUAAGUAAGAUAUUCUGCUCCUUUUCUAAAUCUAGCCUCAGGAGUAAAAGUCUGUACAAUUAGGAAGCAAUGAACAACAAGCUUUUUAAAAUAGCUCUUGAUAAAAAAUUGGGAAAUUUGAACAGACACAAAUCAGUCACUCCAGAUGAGAGGUAAAAUUUUCACUCAACUCCCCUCAGCUCAUGUGUUACUGAUUUGGGCUCUGAUUUAACAUUUCCCUAUGAUUUUACCGGGAAUAAAAGUGAAGCUAACUGGAUAUGUAUGGUCAGAAUCCCUCUUACUUCUUUGCACUCAAAGAAAAUUUUACAUGAUAUGUCCUAGGCUGUUAAAGGAAUGAACCAUAAAGCUUAGUGAACAAUUGACAAUUGGUUUUAAGAAGUUAUGAAGAUCUGGGGAGGUAGCAGAAAACUGGACAAAAGGAAAUGUCGUAUGAGAUGUCCAAAGAGGCUUUGCAUGGACCAAACUGAACAUUUUCCCAAAUGGAGCAGGUGGGAGCACCAGGGGCCAAGGAUCAGCAGGACUCGCUGGAAGAAGAAAGCUCAGAAAUCCCCUCCUUUGCACAGGGCUGCCCAGGUCAGGAGAGAAGUGUGUAUGAGAAGAGCUACAAGGAGAAGAUCCACCUGAAGCGUCAUAAGACCCUCCACUUCUGGAGGAAGCUGUUCAAGAGCAGGAGGUGCUUCCUGCAGACAUGGGAGCUGACGAUGCACCAGAGGACCCACACAGGUGAGAAGUUGUACAGCUGCAGCCAGUGUGCCAAGAGCUCCAGCCAGAUCUCCAACUUCUGGCAUUGGCGCAUCCACACCAGUGAGCGGCCCUUUCGCCUGCCCCCAGGAUCAGUGGUGUUUUGGCCUCUGCUGCGGCCUCACCACUCACCAGAAGAUGCACACCAGGGAGGCCCUCCCUGUGCUGAACACCAGGAAGGCCAUUGCAGAGGGUUAGAGGAGAGGAGAUCGUGGCCAAGUGAAACCCCUUGCCCCACCAUGGAGAUAGGCAUUCUGGUAACAUUGUGUGUGUGAAUGGCUUACAGAGGGUGUACAUGACUCAUGUGUGUGACUAACAUGUCACAAUCAUAUUGUUAUAUAUUUGUUAUUUGUAUUGUGGUAGCUCCUGGGUUCCCCACAGACCCCAUUGUGCCAGGCGCUGUGCAGACGCAGCACAAAAAGACGCGCAGAGCUGAUGAGCAACAGGUAUCCUUCCUAAGGUGCUUAGCUGGCCCCUAUCCCUGUCUUACUGGAACAUCUCACAACUAACAAUGUUUAUCCUCACAGCGCCCCCACGAGGUUGAAAAGUGCUAUUGUCCCCAUUCUGCAGAUCUGAGGGCACAGAGAGGGUUGUUGACUUGCCCAAUGCCACCCGUGAAAUUUGUGCCAGAUUAGGGACCUGAACAUGGGUCUCUCAAAUCACACCUGGCCCACAGGGCCAUCCUGCCCCUUGCAGAGACCUCACAAGCACAUCUGUAGAAGAUGUUAUAGCUGGUUAUGAGCAACUUGUUGACCUGUUGGAUUCUUUUAACAAUUGAUGACCCAUUCUUUCAAACCUUUUAAUAAUUUCUUAACAUGUUUUAUAAACUGUUGGUAAAUGGAACUUCAAUAUAAAGCAUAAGCAACUUUCUCAUAAUUGUGUACUGUAGCCUAUAGGACUAACCUGCUUGCUUGUGUAUAUCUAUAUCUAUAUCUAUAUCUAUAGAUAUAGAUAUAGAUAUCUUUUCUUAUAGUUUAAGUAUUUGGGUUUAUUGUAAUAGGUUUAUAGAUUUCUAUUAAAGUAAGUUUGGUUGUAAUGCAAGAGACCAACAGGCCAUAUCCUGUAUGUUAAGCUAAGGCAAAGUUAGUAUACCUAUAUUAAGACCUUUUACUCAGAAAGCAAAGUUGACCUAUAUCUUGUUACCUAAAUAGAUGAGUCUCCAUGCCUAUGUCCAUGACCUUUUAUGUAAACCAAUAAACAAUGGAGAAUGGCAUAGAGGAGUUUUCAGUGUUAUACCGACAGACUUAACAAGUCCACCAUAAAAGACUGAUGUGCGUACAUACCUGUCAACAAUAUGCACAUACAUAUUAGCCUAUGGGGUAAGUGUACCUAUGGGUGAGGAAUGAAAUUUGGGCAUAAGAGGAAGGAUUUCCAGCAUUUGCCCUAUAAAAGAGGUGACCCACCUCGAUAGAGUACUCCAUCUCCAUUCUCACUUUACUCUAUUCUCACUUACUUCCUCCACUCUAUUCUAUCUAUCUACAAUGGCUACUACUAUCAGUAGGCUCUACUUGUUCUUCUUAAACUUUAAGUUUCAAGGGAACUAGGCUAAGCUUGGUUUCCCUAAGUUUUACUCUUAAUUUAUUUGGCUUUGAUUUUAAGUUUAAAUUAGUCAAGUAAACCCUAAAUUUGCUUUAAUAGCUCGUGGAAUUAGUUUCUUCUAAGCACUGCAUCCCUCACUCGAGAAUUGUGAAACCUGAACUGCAAGGCUGUUCCUGUGUUUCUUACUACCAGGUUAUCAAGGAAGAGUGUGAGUAUAUUAACCAAAGCUUUGUUGCAUAUGAUACCAUAUUAUCAUAUGUAUCUUUUGAAUAGCAGUAAUGCAACUGUAACUUUGUAACUCUGGUAUUUUACCAUUUACUUACUAUUAUUGAUUUUAAUAAAAAGUCUUUACGACUUUAUCUGUCUCAGUGUGAGCUUCCCGUCAUACUCCUGAGGGUCCUUUUAUAAAUUCUGUGGAGCUUGAUUUGGGACAAGAACUUUUAUCUUCUGAUCAAACAGACUGGCGAGCCUAAAACUCAUACUAAUUAAUAUUAAUAAUUUAUUAUUAUUAAAUACAUAAAUAAAAAUUAAAUUAAUAAAUUAAAUUCCCUUAUUAUCCAAAUUGAUAUUAUCAGUACACCCUAAAUAAGGCUACAGUACACAGACUUAAAUAAGGCUUGAGGAGUGAAAGCUGCUUAUGACAGAGGCUGAGAGAAAUCAGCUUGACCUUCACAGACAUGCCAAACCUGCCAUCCCCUUCAGUCUCCACCAGGAAUCUCACAUCAGCAGCAGACAAGAAUUUUGGUUGGGUUCAUGAGUGGGUUUCUCCAUUUGUGGGGUGAAGGGUGUCCCAUGAUGUGCAGCUGAAAGGGCAUAAAAUCCUCUCCUAAUGUUGCUUUUUCGUGCAAGAAAUUGCUGGCAUUGUCACAAGGGUGUAAUGGGAUUGCAUCCGUGAGGGGGCAGUGUCCAGGAGGCAAACUCUCUGCUAACAAAACUGAGAAUCCAUGACUGAGCAGGCUCAGGUGAGCUGGACUUCCAGGUGAAAGGAGGAAAGGAGGAGUUGCAUAUGGAAGAAUCUUGGCAAAGAGGAGUAGAGACCCUGAUAACACAGAUCCAGGGUAGCACUAAGCAUGGGACUUAUUCCCAUAUUGCAGGCCAGUGUAUCAAACGUGCAUUAAGUGUGAUUGCUGGACUAAAGGGAGCUGCGUGGCAACACUGGAGAAGCGAUUGAGGAUUGAAUUGCGAGCGUCUAAUCAUGCAACAAUUUGUAGUUCAGUUUUGAAGGCAGACCAGUGAGGUUUGAAUGAUGAUUUUUCCCUCCAUAGUUUCCUGUAUGUAAAUAUUUCCUUCUGAGCUAGUGUAAAUUGCCUCUCUCAUUAUUUGAUCCAUUUGGUUGAUUUAACCUGGAGCUUUGAGUGUCUAGAAUAGUCAUAAAACUUCUUUCCAAAUACCCUCUAGUGCUGUAAUUAGAAUUCCUUUAUAGUUAUGAAUGUUCAGAGGGUCUAAUCUCACAAUCAGCCACUUUCAUAAGAACGUAAGAAUGGCCACACUGGUCAGACCAAAGGUCCAUCUAGCCCAGUAUCCUGUCUUCCGACAGUGGCCCAGGCCAGUGCCCCAGAGGGAAUGAACAGAACAGGUCAUCAUCAAGUGACCCAUCCCCUGUCACUCAUUCCCAGCUUCUGGCAAACAAGUUAUGUGGUACUCUGUUACAUCUAAUACGAGGGGGUCAAGAAGACAGCUCCUGCUCUCAGUAACAUCCAGGCCGAGCUACGGGUUUGGUGGGUAGCACAAAUACAUUUCAGAUUGCUCAUUAGCAAAGCCACUACUCGUUUUGGUGAGGAGGCUGUUGUGACACACUUGGUUAUGGACUCAGGAUAUGGAGAUCAUGUCACCCAUCCCACCUCCCUAUCACUGGGGGAUUGUUUCUCAGUGUACAUAGUUUUAGCCACUAGAUUGUCCUCAGGUCUAUGGCUUCACUGCAGGCUCAGGAAAAGGAGCCAGGAAGGAGCACGAGUCCUUAUUUCAAGCAAAUGCUGUGACGUGAAAACGAGAAAAAACAAUGGGGUCUGGGGCUGGAGUCCAAAGGCAAUUGCAUCCCGCAGUGGGGACUUGGUAGCACUUCUCUCUCUGGCAAUGGAGAGACUAGUACGCUGCAUUCAAUCCUGGGCACCGCGGUACCUGAAUGAUGUUGAUUCAAUAGAAAGAAUAUGAAGAGGCGCAACCAAAAUGAUUUGGAGGCAGGAAUCAUCCCAAGGAAAGAACUAAGGAUGCAUCCAGCUAGGAUGUGUUUGUGCUGUGCCUAGAACACAAGGGAGCUGAGUCUGACUGAGACAGCUGGAAGCUUCAGUAAUAUAAUUAUAGGAAAAGAAUAACUGCAAAACAUAUGGUCUAACUUCUUUGUCAAAAUAGUUUAUUUAACAAAACAGCAUUGAAUGCACAAAAGACUUCUGACGUUCAAAACGCAUGCAAAUUAGAGAAGCAAACUCAGUUAAUUUGAAUUGCAUGAGAAAGGGGAUAUAAGCCCAGGUCUUGAUAUUUGUUAACUCAUAUUAAAAAUCGUACUCUUAAAUGGGUUUUCCCUUCACAAAUUGACCCCCCUCCACCUUAAAAAUCAAACCAAAGCACUAGACUGUGCCAAUCUAAAGCACAUCUGAUUGCUAUGAUAUAAAGUUGGAGGGAAGACAGCAUCCUGAAAACCUAUGGGCCAGAUUCUGAUCUAAAUAACACCAGUAUCAAUCCAAAGUAACUCUCUAGUGUCAAUGGAACUCAGCUCAGAAUUGGGCCCUACACUCUCUCCUACACUGGACUAUGACGACAAUGUAACUUUGAAAUUCAAAGCUUCAUAGUUUGUUGAAUCUGUGUCUGCUCUCCCCAGUCUAAAUAAAUGGCCUCUAGUUUCAGUUACAUUUCCUGUGCUUCUUGCUGUACUGGCAUAAUAAGGAACCUUAGUGCUAUGCAUUUUAGGAUCUUACCAACGUGCAUUAAAUAUGACUGGAAAGGCUGUCACCUCUAUCACUCUUUCACAAUCUUAUGAAACGGUAGCACAUUAGGAACUGAUUUCCCUCUCCCAUCCCCAUUAAUGCUUCUGGAUACAAAACUAUGAGCAAAACUUCGUUUGUAAUGAAAGUCACAAAAUGGUAUUUAGUGCAAUAAACUGACCACACCAGACCCAAUAGAUACAUGAGUCGUUUCACAUAAAUGCAGAGAUAAUAUUCACAAAAGAAAUACAAUGCUAAACUCAUCAAAUGUAAAUGAAAAUAAUCCACAACAGUUUUUAGACAUAAUGGAAGACACUAAGCUCCAGGAUGUUGCGCCCUAUAUUUAGA
Long non-coding RNA from Gopherus evgoodei (Goodes thornscrub tortoise), 5929 nucleotides. Lineage: Eukaryota; Metazoa; Chordata; Testudines; Testudinidae. The record is from Ensembl.